UACGUAGGGUGCAAGCGUUGUCCGGAAUUAUUGGGCGUAAAGAGCUCGUAGGUGGUCUGUCGCGUCGGCUGUGAAAACCCGGAGCUCAACUCCGGGCCUGCAGUCGAUACGGGCAGACUGGAGUUCGGCAGGGGAGACUGGAAUUCCUGGUGUAGCGGUGAAAUGCGCAGAUAUCAGGAGGAACACCGGUGGCGAAGGCGGGUCUCUGGGCCGAUACUGACGCUGAGGAGCGAAAGCGUGGGGAGCGAACAGG
This 253-nucleotide ribosomal RNA is filed under the name uncultured bacterium. Its description in RNAcentral is "partial 16S ribosomal RNA". It matches the Rfam family "Bacterial small subunit ribosomal RNA", at positions 524 to 776 of the family's 1533-position model. The record is from RNAcentral.